RNAcentral lists this ribosomal RNA (480 nucleotides) under Felimare fontandraui. RNAcentral's name for it is "partial 16S ribosomal RNA". It matches the Rfam family "Bacterial large subunit ribosomal RNA", at positions 1797 to 2619 of the family's 2925-position model. The record is from RNAcentral. Lineage: Eukaryota; Metazoa; Mollusca; Gastropoda; Nudibranchia; Chromodorididae.
CGCCUGUUUAUCAAAAACAUGGCCUUAGGAAUUUAUCUAAGGUUAUACCUGCCCAAUGUACUAUUAUCAACGGCCGCGGUUCUUUGACCGAGCGACGGUAGCUUAAUCAGUUGGCUCUUAAUUAGGGUCAGGAAUGAAUGGAGUUACGUGGUUCAACUGUCUCCUAACUAUUUAUUUGAAAUUACUAUAUAGAUGAAAAAGUCUAUAAUUCGAAAAAAGACGAGAAGACCCUUAGAGUUUUUCUUAAUGUGAUAAAUAUGAUCAUAAUGGUUUUGUUGGGGCAACACGGGAGCAAGACAUUAAUCUCUCUAAUAAAUUAAUCAAUUAUUUUAAAUAUGAAUAAACUACCUUAGGGAUAACAGCAUUAUGUAAAAAAUAAGUUUGUGACCUCGAUGUUGGACUGGGAAAUUUAAAGGCUAGCCGUCUUUAAAGAAAGUUCUGUUCGAACUAAUAUUCCCACGUGAUCUGAGUUCAGACCGG